Molecule: long non-coding RNA, 312 nt
Filed under: Phoenix dactylifera (date palm)
Lineage: Eukaryota; Viridiplantae; Streptophyta; Magnoliopsida; Arecales; Arecaceae
Description: long non-coding RNA (PDAC_LNC003881)
Source: RNAcentral
UAGAGAGGAGAUAAACAGUGUUUGUAGGGCACGGAAUUUCCCAACCCCCUCCUGAGAAGCCAAGGCUCCCUUUUAUAGGUGGGGGUCGGUUUACCUGUGAUGUAACAGGGCGAGGCCAUAGUACGGCUCGGCAUGCGGCUCAGGUCGGCGCACGGUCAGGCGAAUCAUUGUGCUGAUGUCGGCGGUGAGGGCGUCGUACGACCCGAACCAGUACGCUACCAGGCGAAUCAUUGCAUUGGUGUCGGAGGUAUGGCCGAGAUCAGAGACUUAUCAUGGUUGACCAGACUCUGCUGGGCUAACUCGCCGUGGAGA